GUGCCAGCAUCCGCGGUAAUACCAGCUCCAGGAGUGUCUAUGAUGAUUGCUGCGAUUAAAAGGUCCGUAGUCGGGGGGCAGCACCUGUCUGCAAUGCGGGCGAUCAAGCGCCGAGCAGGACGGGCACAGCCCCGCACAGGAGCGAUCGAGGGCCAGACUAUUGUGCAGCGAGAGGUGAAAUUUGAUGACCUGCGCAGGAGUAGCAGCGGCGAAGGCGCUGGCCAGGAGCGUAUCCGAUGAUCAAGGACGUAGGCUGGAGGAUCGAAGACGAUUAGAGACCGUAGUAGUUCCAGCAGUAAACGAUGCCUACACUGCUGCAGACGCGUCUGCGGCAGACGAGAAAUCGAGUGGGGCUACGGGGAGAGUACGCGCGCAAGCGCCAAAUUUAAAGGAAAUUGACGGAAGAACACCACAAGGAGUGGAGUGUGCGGCUUAAUUUGACUCAACGCGGGACAACUUACCACGCCCGAUGGCCGUGUGAGCGCGUGCGCGAUAGGCCAGCGAGUGGUGCAUGGCCGUUAUCGACUAGUGGGGUGACCUCUGGGUUAAGUCCGCAAAGUAGUGAGAUCCCGGGGCCCGCCCAUUUUAUUAGAUGGGCGGCGUCGACAGGCGCGAGAAGCGCGGGAAGGACGGGGCAAGAACAGGUCAGUGAUGCCCUUAGAUGGCGUGGGCUGCACGCGCACUACAGUGGUCGCAGCAGGAGCUUUCAGAGUGAAUGCGAUCGAGAGGGAAUGCGCGCUGUAAGGUGCACAGGAACGAGGAAUUGCUAGUAGCCGCUGCCUCACCAAGGAGCGGCGAAUGUGUCCCUGUUCUUUGUACACACCGCCCGUCGUUAUCGAAGAUGGCGCCAGGCGCGAACAAACGCAAGCGCGUGAGUGCAGGGCGCUAGAUCUGAUACAAGUCGUAACAAGGCAGCUGUAGGAGAACCUGCAGCUGGAUCAAAU
RNAcentral lists this ribosomal RNA (944 nucleotides) under Microsporidium sp. SH. RNAcentral describes it as "SSU rRNA". It matches the Rfam family "Microsporidia small subunit ribosomal RNA", at positions 390 to 1311 of the family's 1311-position model. Lineage: Eukaryota; Fungi; Microsporidia. The record is from RNAcentral.